This 69-nucleotide transfer RNA is filed under the name Cavia porcellus (domestic guinea pig). It matches the Rfam family "tRNA". From Rfam's summary of the family: Transfer RNA (tRNA) molecules are approximately 80 nucleotides in length. The record is from Rfam by way of RNAcentral. Lineage: Eukaryota; Metazoa; Chordata; Mammalia; Rodentia; Caviidae.
AGGCAUGUAGCUCAGUGGUAGAGUUCUUGCCUCGCAUGCAUGAAGCCCUGGGUUUGAUCCUCAGCACUA